GACGAACGCUGGCGGCGUGCUUAACACAUGCAAGUCGAACGGAAAGGCCCUGCUUUUGUGGGGUGCUCGAGUGGCGAACGGGUGUGUAACACGUGAGUAACCUGCCCUUGACUUUGGGAUAUCUUCAGACAACUGGGGCUACUACCUGCUAGGAGCUCCUGCUGCUUGGUGGUGGUUGGACCGUUUCGGCGGUUGUGGAUGGACGCGCGGCUUAUCAGUUUGUUGGUUGGGUAGUGGCUUACCAGGGGUUUGACGGAUAGCCUGCCUGAGAGGUGGACCGGGCACAAUGGGACUGAGAUACGGACCAGAGUCCUACGGGAGGCAGCAGUGGGGAAUAUGGCACAAUGGGGGGAAGCCUGAUGCAGCAACGCCGGGUGCGGGAUGACGGCCUUCGGGUUGUAAACCGCUGUCGCCUGUGACGAAGCGGGAGUGACGGUAAUGGGUAAAGAAGCACCGGCUAACUACGUG
RNAcentral lists this ribosomal RNA (468 nucleotides) under uncultured bacterium. Its description in RNAcentral is "partial 16S ribosomal RNA". It matches the Rfam family "Bacterial small subunit ribosomal RNA", at positions 28 to 507 of the family's 1533-position model. The record is from RNAcentral.